AAAUUGAAGAGUUUGAUCAUGGCUCAGAUUGAACGCUGGCGGCAGGCCUAACACAUGCAAGUCGAACGGUAACAGGAAGCAGCUUGCUGUUUCGCUGACGAGUGGCGGACGGGUGAGUAAUGUCUGGGAAACUGCCUGAUGGAGGGGGAUAACUACUGGAAACGGUAGCUAAUACCGCAUAACGUCGCAAGACCAAAGAGGGGGAC
This 206-nucleotide ribosomal RNA is filed under the name Escherichia coli. RNAcentral describes it as "partial 16S ribosomal RNA". It matches the Rfam family "Bacterial small subunit ribosomal RNA", at positions 1 to 214 of the family's 1533-position model. The record is from RNAcentral. RNAcentral also lists the same sequence under 1 other name. Lineage: Bacteria; Pseudomonadati; Pseudomonadota; Gammaproteobacteria; Enterobacterales; Enterobacteriaceae.